AGACCCGAAACCCGGUGAUCUAGCCAUGGGCAGGUUGAAGGUUGGGUAACACUAACUGGAGGACCGAACCGACUAAUGUUGAAAAAUUAGCGGAUGACCUGUGGCUGGGGGUGAAAGGCCAAUCAAACCGGGAGAUAGCUGGUUCUCCCCGAAAGCUAUUUAGGUAGCGCCUCGUGAAUUCAUCUCCGGGGGUAGAGCACUGUUUCGGCUAGGGGGCCAUCCCGGCUUACCAACCCGAUGCAAACUGCGAAUACCGGAGAAUGUUAUCACGGGAGACACACGGCGGGUGCUAACGUCCGUCGUGAAGAGGGAAACAACCCAGACCGCCAGCUAAGGUCCCAAAGUCAUGGUUAAGUGGGAAACGAUGUGGGAAGGCCCAGACAGCCAGGAUGUUGGCUUAGAAGCAGCCAUCAUUUAAAGAAAGCGUAAUAGCUCACUGGUCGAGUCGGCCUGCGCGGAAGAUGUAACGGGGCUAAACCAUGCACCGAAGCUGCGGCAGCGACACUCAGGUGUUGUUGGGUAGGGGAGCGUUCUGUAAGUCUGCGAAGGUGGCCUGUGAGGGUUGCUGGAGGUAUCAGAAGUGCGAAUGCUGACAUAAGUAACGAUAAAGC
This 611-nucleotide ribosomal RNA is filed under the name Salmonella enterica. Its description in RNAcentral is "partial 23S ribosomal RNA". It matches the Rfam family "Bacterial large subunit ribosomal RNA", at positions 711 to 1318 of the family's 2925-position model. The record is from RNAcentral. Lineage: Bacteria; Pseudomonadati; Pseudomonadota; Gammaproteobacteria; Enterobacterales; Enterobacteriaceae.